GUCGAACGAAGAGCGAUGGAAGCUUGCUUCUAUCAAUCUUAGUGCCGUACGGGUGAGUAACGCGUAAUCAACCUGCCCUUCAGAGGGGGACAACAGUUGGAAACGACUGCUAAUACCGCAUACGAUCUAAACUCGGCAUCGAGGAUAGAUGAAAGGUGGCCUCUACAUGUAAGCUAUCACUGAAGGAGGGGAUUGCGUCUGAUUAGCUAGUUGGAGGGGUAACGGCCCACCAAGGCGAUGAUCAGUAGCCGGUCUGAGAGGAUGAACGGCCACAUUGGGACUGAGACACGGCCCAGACUCCUACGGGAGGCAGCAGUGGGGAAUCUUCCGCAAUGGACGAAAGUCUGACGGAGCAACGCCGCGUGAGUGAUGACGGCCUUCGGGUUGUAAAGCUCUGUUAAUCGGGACGAAAGGCCUUCUUGCGAAUAGUGAGAAGGAUUGACGGUACCGGAAUAGAAAGCCACGGCUAACUACGUGCCAGCAGCCGCGGUAAUACGUAGGUGGCAAGCGUUGUCCGGAAUUACUGGGCGUAAAGCGCACGCAGGCGGUUUGUUAAGUCAGAUGUGAAAUCCCCGGGCCCAACCUGGGAACUGCAUCUGAUACUGGCAAGCUUGAGUCUCGUAGAGGGGGGUAGAAUUCCAGGUGUAGCGGUGAAAUGCGUAGAGAUCUGGAGGAAUACCGGUGGCGAAGGCGGCCCCCU
Molecule: ribosomal RNA, 700 nt
Filed under: uncultured bacterium
Lineage: Bacteria
Description: bacterial SSU rRNA
Rfam family: Bacterial small subunit ribosomal RNA
Source: RNAcentral